GAGUUUGAUCCUGGCUCAGAACGAACGCUGGCGGCGUGCCUAACACAUGCAAGUCGAACGUGAUCCAGAGCUUGCUCUGGUGAAAGUGGCGCACGGGUGAGUAACGCGUGGAUAACCUACCCUGGUAUCCGGGAUAACAUUCCGAAAGGGGUGCUAAUACCGGAUAAGCCCACGGGCUCUUUGGAGCUUGCGGGAAAAGGUGGCCUCUAUUUAUAAGCUACUGUAUCAGGAUGGGUCCGCGUACCAUUAGCUAGUUGGCGGUGUAACGGACCACCAAGGCGACGAUGGUUAGCUGGUCUGAGAGGAUGAUCAGCCACACUGGAACUGAGACACGGUCCAGACUCCUACGGGAGGCAGCAGUGGGGAAUUUUGCGCAAUGGGGGAAACCCUGACGCAGCAACGCCGCGUGAGUGAUGAAGGCCUUUGGGUCGUAAAGCUCUGUCAGAGGGGAAGAAAUGAUAUAGUGCUAAUACCACUUUAUCUUGACGGUACCCUCAAAGGAAGCACCGGCUWACUCCGUGCCAGCAGCCGCGGUAAUAC
This 540-nucleotide ribosomal RNA is filed under the name uncultured Geobacteraceae bacterium. Its description in RNAcentral is "bacterial SSU rRNA". It matches the Rfam family "Bacterial small subunit ribosomal RNA", at positions 9 to 526 of the family's 1533-position model. Lineage: Bacteria; Pseudomonadati; Thermodesulfobacteriota; Desulfuromonadia; Geobacterales; Geobacteraceae. The record is from RNAcentral.